This 375-nucleotide ribosomal RNA is filed under the name uncultured bacterium. RNAcentral describes it as "partial 16S ribosomal RNA". The record is from RNAcentral.
CCGCGACCGGGAGAUGCGAACCCAAGAGGGCGGAACGUUCGGUGGAUAGCACCCNCGAAACNAACGNGCGGCCCCAGGACGGGGNGGGGAAAAUUACACGAAGANAGACAACGCAAGAAAGGCAGGCCGGACAACGCGAACAAGCAAGGAGCAGUANCCAAGCAAGCAGAGCAGACAGCGCGCACGCACAAGAAGCANAGNCAACACCGACAAGAAGCAAAGCAAAACAACAGCAACAANAGAGAACACGACGAAGCAGAAACAAACANAAAGACACACAGCAGCACANCAGGCAAGACGACGCAGCACCACACAGCACGACACACAGCACCACACGCAAGAAAACACACCAGCAACAGAAGCAAACACACCAAC